Molecule: long non-coding RNA, 364 nt
Filed under: Mytilus galloprovincialis (Mediterranean mussel)
Lineage: Eukaryota; Metazoa; Mollusca; Bivalvia; Mytilida; Mytilidae
Source: RNAcentral
GUCGUGCAAUAGGAGAUCGACAGUGAGGUUGGACGUGAAACUUUAAAAUACCACUGGAAAAUGAGGGUAUAUUAAAUAAGGACAGAAAUUUAGACUUGCAACAGCUGGUAACAUUCGGACCACUGAAAUAAUAGGUGCAAGACGUUUUAAUUUGCCGAGAGCGUUGAUCCAUAAAAUCUACCCUGAAGUCGAUCAUCGAUGUUUACGUGAAGUUUACAAUAUCAUUUCACGCAUCCAAUUUAGGUAAGAUACCUUUAGCUCGCUUUAGUAACUGUGAAAAUUCUGUGAAACUGUAUUGUGUAUUGUAUUUUGGUAUGAUAUUCUGUACUACCGAUCACUACUGCUCUCCUGGUUGGUCUCGUGA